RNAcentral lists this ribosomal RNA (266 nucleotides) under uncultured bacterium. RNAcentral's name for it is "partial 16S ribosomal RNA". It matches the Rfam family "Bacterial small subunit ribosomal RNA", at positions 89 to 353 of the family's 1533-position model. The record is from RNAcentral.
GACUGAGCGGCGGACGGGUGAGUAACGCGUGGGUAACCUGCCUCAUACAGGGGGAUAACAGUUGGAAACGGCUGCUAAUACCGCAUAAGCGCACAGUACCGCAUGGUACCGUGUGAAAAACUCCGGUGGUAUGAGAUGGACCCGCGUCUGAUUAGGUAGUUGGUGGGGUAACGGCCUACCAAGCCGACGAUCAGUAGCCGACCUGAGAGGGUGACCGGCCACAUUGGGACUGAGACACGGCCCAAACUCCUACGGGAGGCAGCAUG